This 253-nucleotide ribosomal RNA is filed under the name uncultured bacterium. RNAcentral describes it as "partial 16S ribosomal RNA". It matches the Rfam family "Bacterial small subunit ribosomal RNA", at positions 524 to 776 of the family's 1533-position model. The record is from RNAcentral.
UACGUAGGGGGCUAGCGUUGUCCGGAAUCAUUGGGCGUAAAGAGCGUGUAGGCGGUCCGGUAAGUCCGCUGUGAAAGUCGGGGGCUCAACCCUCGAAUGCCGGUGGAUACUGUCGGGCUAGAGUGCGGAAGAGGCGAGUGGAAUUCCUGGUGUAGCGGUGAAAUGCGCAGAUAUCAGGAUGAACACCGGUGGCGAAGGCGGGUCUCUGGGCCGUAACUGACGCUGAGGAGCGAAAGCGUGGGGAGCGAACAGG